UAGGGAAUCUUCGGCAAUGGGGGCAACCCUGACCGAGCAACGCCGCGUGAGUGAAGAAGGUUUUCGGAUCGUAAAGCUCUGUUGUAAGAGAAGAACGAGUGUGAGAGUGGAAAGUUCACACUGUGACGGUAACUUACCGGAAAGGGACGGCUAACUACGUGCCAGCAGCCGCGGUAAUACGUAGGUCCCGAGCGUUAUCCGGAUUUAUUGGGCGUAAAGCGAGCGCAGGCGGUUAGAUAAGUCUGAAGUUAAAGGCUGUGGCUUAACCAUAGUACGCUUUGGAAACUGUUUAACUUGAGUGCAGAAGGGGAGAGUGGAAUUCCAUGUGUAGCGGUGAAAUGCGUAGAUAUAUGGAGGAACACCGGUGGCGAAAGCGGCUCUCUGGUCUGUAACUGACGCUGAGGCUCGAAAGCGUGGGGAGCAAACAGGAUUAGAUACCCUGGUAGUCCACGCCGUAAACGAUGAGUGCUAGGUGUUGGGUCCUUUCCGGGACUCAGUGCCGCAGCUAACGCAUUAAGCACUCCGCCUGGGGAGUACGACCGCAAGGUUG
RNAcentral lists this ribosomal RNA (550 nucleotides) under uncultured bacterium. Its description in RNAcentral is "bacterial SSU rRNA". It matches the Rfam family "Bacterial small subunit ribosomal RNA", at positions 355 to 896 of the family's 1533-position model. The record is from RNAcentral.